GACGAACGCUGGCGGCGUGCCUAAUACAUGCAAGUUGAGCGCUGAAGGCUGGUACUUGUACCAACUGGAUGAGCAGCGCACGGGAGAGUAACGCGUGGGGAAUCUGCCUUUCAGCGGGGGACAACAUUUGGAAACGAAUGCUAAUACCGCAUAAAAACUUUAAACACAAUUUUUAAGCUUGAAAGAUGCAAUUGCAUCACUCAAAGAUGAUCCCGCGUUGUAUUAGCUAGUUGGUGAGGUAAAGGCUCACCAAGGCGAUGAUACAUAGCCGACCUGAGAGGGUGAUCGGCCACCUUGGGAGUGAGACACGCCCCAAACUCCUACGGGAGGCAGCAGGAGGGAAACUUCGGCAAUGGACGAAAGUCUGACCGGGCAACGCCGCGUGAGUGAAGAAGGUUUUCGGGUCGUGAAACUCUGUUGGUAGAGAAGAACGUUGGUGAGAGUGGAAAGCUCAUCAAGUGACGGUAACUACCCAGAAAGGGACGGCUAACUACGUG
RNAcentral lists this ribosomal RNA (497 nucleotides) under uncultured bacterium. RNAcentral describes it as "partial 16S ribosomal RNA". It matches the Rfam family "Bacterial small subunit ribosomal RNA", at positions 28 to 507 of the family's 1533-position model. The record is from RNAcentral.